CUGUGGGCACCUCUCUCCUUGCUUUCCUGGAGGCCUGGCCUCUUCUUGCUCCUGGAAACCUGGCACUGAGCAGAUCUGACCCCUGGCCCUAGGAAGCCCUCCCUCCCAGGGCUCCAGGUCGUGAGAACCAGCCCAGGUGUGUCCCCUGGGGCCCUGUCACCCGGGCCCAGCUGUCCCCAUGAUCCUGGAGCUGGACCUGAGGCUCAGGGCCGCAGCUGAGGGUAGGAGGGAAAAGAGAGCUUCGCUUCCCCACACCUGCGCAGCACACCCCAGCUUGUCGGGGCGGGGAGCUUGCUGAACACUCACGGUACUCGUGCGGCUGUCUCCGGGAGAGUUCUAGAAAUCUGUAUUUUUAGCAGGUGCACCAGAAAUUCUCAAUUGGACAAAGGAAAUCUACUCAGAGAGAGAAGGUGCCUCCUGGGUCAUGCCAGAGCAUUCCAUGCACCAGGCCACAGCAGCGGUCCUGAAUAGCUCUUGAAGCAUCAGACCCGGGCUCUGAUUCAGCAGCGGAGGCCCCAGAGACAAGUUCCCUGCCUUCCAACCUCAAGACGGAAGGGGUGGUGGUGGUGACAUACUUUUUAAAAAGCACAAAUAAUAAAAGAGCCACCCUACGUA
Mustela erminea (ermine) is the source of this 615-nucleotide long non-coding RNA. RefSeq lists it as uncharacterized. The transcript has 2 exons. The record is from RefSeq and is a predicted model, not a curated record. Lineage: Eukaryota; Metazoa; Chordata; Mammalia; Carnivora; Mustelidae.